RNAcentral lists this ribosomal RNA (483 nucleotides) under uncultured bacterium. RNAcentral describes it as "partial 16S ribosomal RNA". It matches the Rfam family "Bacterial small subunit ribosomal RNA", at positions 30 to 507 of the family's 1533-position model. The record is from RNAcentral.
UUGCACGCUGGCGGCAGGCCUCACACAUGCAAGUCGAGCGGAUGAAGGGAGCUUGCUCCUGGAUUCAGCGGCGGACGGGUGAGUAAUGCCUAGGAAUCUGCCUGGUAGUGGGGGAUAACGUCCGGAAACGGGCGCUAAUACCGCAUACGUCCUGAGGGAGAAAGUGGGGGAUCUUCGGACCCCACGCUAUCAGAUGAGCCUAGGUCGGAUUAGCUAGUUGGUGGGGUAAAGGCCUACCAAGGCGACGAUCCGUAACUGGUCUGAGAGGAUGAUCAGUCACACUGGAACUGAGACACGGUCCAGACUCCUACGGGAGGCAGCAGUGGGGAAUAUUGGACAAUGGGCGAAAGCCUGAUCCAGCCAUGCCGCGUGUGUGAAGAAGGUCUUCGGAUUGUAAAGCACUUUAAGUUGGGAGGAAGGGCAGUAAGUUAAUACCUUGCUGUUUUGACGUUACCAACAGAAUAAGCACCGGCUAACUUCGUG